This 494-nucleotide ribosomal RNA is filed under the name Bacillus licheniformis. RNAcentral describes it as "bacterial SSU rRNA". It matches the Rfam family "Bacterial small subunit ribosomal RNA", at positions 397 to 881 of the family's 1533-position model. The record is from RNAcentral. Lineage: Bacteria; Bacillati; Bacillota; Bacilli; Caryophanales; Bacillaceae.
CCGCGUGAGUGAUGAAGGUUUUCGGAUCGUAAAGCUCUGUUGUUAGGGAAGAACAAGUACCGUUCGAAUAGGGCGGUACCUUGACGGUACCUAACCAGAAAGCCACGGCUAACUACGUGCCAGCAGCCGCGGUAAUACGUAGGUGGCAAGCGUUGUCCGGAAUUAUUGGGCGUAAAGGGCUCGCAGGCGGUUUCUUAAGUCUGAUGUGAAAGCCCCCGGCUCAACCGGGGAGGGUCAUUGGAAACUGGGGAACUUGAGUGCAGAAGAGGAGAGUGGAAUUCCACGUGUAGCGGUGAAAUGCGUAGAGAUGUGGAGGAACACCAGUGGCGAAGGCGACUCUCUGGUCUGUAACUGACGCUGAGGAGCGAAAGCGUGGGGAGCGAACAGGAUUAGAUACCCUGGUAGUCCACGCCGUAAACGAUGAGUGCUAAGUGUUAGGGGGUUUCCGCCCCUUAGUGCUGCAGCUAACGCAUUAAGCACUCCGCCUGGGGAGA